AGGAAAACCAGUGGCAUGUAUUAAUACAUAUUCAGGUACAAGGAAAAUGAGUAGGUCUGGACUGUAUGGGUUUGAAAGCAAAGGGGAGAUUUUGCUAGCUGAAGACAUAUCUAGAAGAGCCUGCAGGAGCCAGACAUGCCUGAAUAAGUCCUCAGAAGAUUCCAGCCCUGCGUUCCUGAUUCCACCUGCAUGAGAGAACUGCCCGCAAAACCCGGCAUAGUCCUGGGCUCAUUUCAGUCCCUCAGUGAAUAUUUAUUGAUCGUUUUGAGUCAUUUGCUACUGCAAAGAGGUGCUAUAGAUUCAACUGUGUACCUCCGAAAUCCAUGUGUUGAAACCCUGCACCUCAAUA
Molecule: non-coding RNA, 349 nt
Organism: Odocoileus virginianus texanus
Lineage: Eukaryota; Metazoa; Chordata; Mammalia; Artiodactyla; Cervidae
Source: RefSeq, a predicted model, not a curated record